RNAcentral lists this ribosomal RNA (1549 nucleotides) under Klebsiella quasipneumoniae. RNAcentral describes it as "bacterial SSU rRNA". It matches the Rfam family "Bacterial small subunit ribosomal RNA". The record is from RNAcentral. RNAcentral also lists the same sequence under 1 other name. Lineage: Bacteria; Pseudomonadati; Pseudomonadota; Gammaproteobacteria; Enterobacterales; Enterobacteriaceae.
AAAUUGAAGAGUUUGAUCAUGGCUCAGAUUGAACGCUGGCGGCAGGCCUAACACAUGCAAGUCGAGCGGUAGCACAGAGAGCUUGCUCUCGGGUGACGAGCGGCGGACGGGUGAGUAAUGUCUGGGAAACUGCCUGAUGGAGGGGGAUAACUACUGGAAACGGUAGCUAAUACCGCAUAACGUCGCAAGACCAAAGUGGGGGACCUUCGGGCCUCAUGCCAUCAGAUGUGCCCAGAUGGGAUUAGCUAGUAGGUGGGGUAACGGCUCACCUAGGCGACGAUCCCUAGCUGGUCUGAGAGGAUGACCAGCCACACUGGAACUGAGACACGGUCCAGACUCCUACGGGAGGCAGCAGUGGGGAAUAUUGCACAAUGGGCGCAAGCCUGAUGCAGCCAUGCCGCGUGUGUGAAGAAGGCCUUCGGGUUGUAAAGCACUUUCAGCGGGGAGGAAGGCGACAAGGUUAAUAACCUUGUCGAUUGACGUUACCCGCAGAAGAAGCACCGGCUAACUCCGUGCCAGCAGCCGCGGUAAUACGGAGGGUGCAAGCGUUAAUCGGAAUUACUGGGCGUAAAGCGCACGCAGGCGGUCUGUCAAGUCGGAUGUGAAAUCCCCGGGCUCAACCUGGGAACUGCAUUCGAAACUGGCAGGCUAGAGUCUUGUAGAGGGGGUAGAAUUCCAGGUGUAGCGGUGAAAUGCGUAGAGAUCUGGAGGAAUACCGGUGGCGAAGGCGGCCCCCUGGACAAAGACUGACGCUCAGGUGCGAAAGCGUGGGGAGCAAACAGGAUUAGAUACCCUGGUAGUCCACGCCGUAAACGAUGUCGAUUUGGAGGUUGUGCCCUUGAGGCGUGGCUUCCGGAGCUAACGCGUUAAAUCGACCGCCUGGGGAGUACGGCCGCAAGGUUAAAACUCAAAUGAAUUGACGGGGGCCCGCACAAGCGGUGGAGCAUGUGGUUUAAUUCGAUGCAACGCGAAGAACCUUACCUGGUCUUGACAUCCACAGAACUUAGCAGAGAUGCUUUGGUGCCUUCGGGAACUGUGAGACAGGUGCUGCAUGGCUGUCGUCAGCUCGUGUUGUGAAAUGUUGGGUUAAGUCCCGCAACGAGCGCAACCCUUAUCCUUUGUUGCCAGCGGUUAGGCCGGGAACUCAAAGGAGACUGCCAGUGAUAAACUGGAGGAAGGUGGGGAUGACGUCAAGUCAUCAUGGCCCUUACGACCAGGGCUACACACGUGCUACAAUGGCAUAUACAAAGAGAAGCGACCUCGCGAGAGCAAGCGGACCUCAUAAAGUAUGUCGUAGUCCGGAUUGGAGUCUGCAACUCGACUCCAUGAAGUCGGAAUCGCUAGUAAUCGUAGAUCAGAAUGCUACGGUGAAUACGUUCCCGGGCCUUGUACACACCGCCCGUCACACCAUGGGAGUGGGUUGCAAAAGAAGUAGGUAGCUUAACCUUCGGGAGGGCGCUUACCACUUUGUGAUUCAUGACUGGGGUGAAGUCGUAACAAGGUAACCGUAGGGGAACCUGCGGUUGGAUCACCUCCUUACCUUAAAGAA